GCGCACCAGCGAGAAUCCUUCGCAAUGCGGGAAACCGCGACGAGGGGACUCCCAGUGCCUACGCUCAGCGUAGGCUGUUCCCGAGCCUAGAAAGCUCGGGGAGUAAGGGCUGGGUAAGACGGGUGCCAGCCGCCGCGGUAAUACCCGCAGCCCGAGUGGUGGCCACUAUUAUUGGGCCUAAAGCGUCCGUAGCCGGCCCGGUAAAUGCCUGGGUAAAUCGUGAGGCCUAACCUCACGAAUUCCGGGUAGACUGCCGGGCUAGGGACCGGAGGAGGGAGAGGGUACUCCAGGGGUAGGGGUGAAAUCCUGUAAUCCCUGGAGGACCACCGGUGGCGAAGGCGCUCUCCUAGGACGGGUCCGACGGUGAGGGACGAAAGCCAGGGGAGCGAACCGGAUUAGAUACCCGUGUAGU
RNAcentral lists this ribosomal RNA (412 nucleotides) under uncultured microorganism. Its description in RNAcentral is "bacterial SSU rRNA". It matches the Rfam family "Archaeal small subunit ribosomal RNA", at positions 330 to 745 of the family's 1478-position model. The record is from RNAcentral.